Molecule: transfer RNA, 74 nt
Filed under: Camelus bactrianus (Bactrian camel)
Lineage: Eukaryota; Metazoa; Chordata; Mammalia; Artiodactyla; Camelidae
Also listed under: 1 other name
Rfam family: tRNA
About the family: Transfer RNA (tRNA) molecules are approximately 80 nucleotides in length.
Source: Rfam by way of RNAcentral
GAGGGUAUAGCUCAGUGGUAGAGCGUAUGCUUGGUAUGCACAAGGUCCUGAGUUCAAAAUCCCCAGUACCUACA